AUCCAUUAGGAACAUCUACCAGGGCUUCUCCCCAUAGCUCCCUCUCUCUUUCAUUCUUGAGACAGAAUUGCUUGUCUCGCGUAUCCCAGAUGAGACUCUCAAACACACUCUUGUAACACAGCUGCAGAUGACCUUGAACUGUUGAUCCCCUGUCUCCACGUGCUGGGAUUACAGGUUUGCACCACACACACCACACUGAGCUUCACAUUAGGUUUUACCCUUCUUACAUAUCAAGAAACUGGGACUGGGACAGGACUUCCCGAGGCAAUAAAGCUAUUAAGUGGUGUACUAAUAAUGUAGUUCUCCUGUCUGCUUCCCAAGUCUAUGUCCUGGGUCUGGGCAUAUGUCACUGAUGACUUGAUGGGUCUCAAUUUACUGGCAGACUAUAUAUGUGACCCCAUUUUAUGUUUUCCAAUGCCUGCUUUCAAAUACGUGACUCCAGGUGCUUUGGAUGGCUCUUACAACCCUCGGUGCUCCCUUGUUUAGUAAAACUGACGAUGCUGUUACAAAUUCCUCUAGUCUAGUAGGGUUGUGGCCAGGGAAAGGAGACAUAGAUCUUCCCGAGGGGAAAGGUCCUUUGUGAGAUCUGACACUGUGAUCCCAGGCUGGCCUCGAACUUGUGAUCCUGACGGUUCAGCCUCCCAUGUGCUGGGAUUACAGAUGCUUAAGCAAUCUUGCCUGUACCAGCCUGUGGUCAGUUUUAAACUGGGUUUCUCCUCCUCGGUGACCACCUGCAGGAUGGCCCUGUGCUCCUCCACAUUGAGCCUCGGUGAUGCCCGAGGUCCCUUUUCCACAUUCUGAAGGCAGUGGGGCAGGUGGCAAAGGUGUUCUGGUUUUGAGCCACACAGUCCACUCCGAUCCUCGAGGUGCUUCACGUUCAGAUAGCUCUAGUCCACUAGGGGGCACCAGACUCCAGGUUCGUGCGCCCUGCAACCCCAGAGAGCAUUUGCAAAGCUCACUCAAGAAUCCUCCCCAAAGCAGACCUCAAGGUUCCUGGGAGCGCGUCUCUGUAGUUCUGCCGGAGUCGGGGCGGGGAGCGGGACGCCAGCGUGCCCUUCCGGUUAGCCUCCCUCCCGCCCCAGCCGCGCCCCGAGCCGCUACCUUCGCGCUCUUCCACACACACCACGUGGUUUGGCAGCGCCAAACAGCUGCGCACGCCUCUGUUCUCCUCCGCCAUUCGCCCACUCUCCGGAUGAAGAAGCAACCUCUCACCAGGAGCACAACCAUCUCCUCGCCCUGUCAGCUGUUGUUGCAAAAGGGCGAGGUCUGCAAAAGUGUCAGCUGAGGUUGCAAAAGGGCGAGGCUAAGUCUUGGACCAGAAGUGGCCCGAUACAGAACUCUUGGCACUUUUUCCACUGGAAGUGAGAGUAGGAGAAUGAAAUGCAGAACUCUCAGCCCCUUCUCCAGCACCAUGUCUGCGUGUGUGCUGCCAUGCUUCCCGCCAUGAACUGACCACUCCUAAGUAUUUGUCACAAUUGGACUUUCUUUUUGGAUCCCUUAUGGCCUCUAUCAGGAAAAUCUUUCAGACCUUCUAGGUCUGGUAGCCACAGGCCUAUGCUGUCUUGUGUAACAACUGAAGAUAUAAUGUUGUCCUAUACAAUAGUCAAAGACCUAUGACCUCUGCCCCCCAAAGAAGCCAUCAAGACCACAGGAGCCUACAAGGAGGACUUCUGAUGGCCAUGCUAGUAGAGGAUGUGAUAUACCACGUCAGGAUUUCUGAUUGCAGUGAGUGUCAAGAGACGAUGGCACAAGACUAGAAAGGGGCCAACUUUAAGGUUCCUCUCAUAGCCCAAUGUCAGACAGCUAAUGAACUUCUGAAACACACGGUAGAAGAAACGGCUGGACAUGGCUUUGCAAAAUAGCACUGCCUACCAGGACUCCUCUAUUUCAGCCAAUUUCUUGCCUCUGUAUACUCUCUAGCUUGGAGACUGCUGGCAUUUUCGGAGGUUUUAGAGCACAUAGUGAAAGCCAGACUCCACACUUGACAGGCUGCAUUCUAGCCAAGCCAAGCUGUCAUUGCCGAGAGGAAGAGUCAAGGCCUCAUAGAAUGGGAUGACUGAGUCGAUGGCUUUCAACUUCCAGCUCAGUGUGGAGGAGUGUGGGAGAGAAGGGAUGCUCCAGUGGACCAAGGUUCAAAGAUAGUUUAAGCCGCCCGAGACCCUGCCUUGACAAACGCACAAACAGAACCGCAAACAACAGCUAACAAGUCCGAAGAAGCUUCAUGGGCACCAAGGGCCUCACCCUGAUACUCCCUGUGCAUACCCUCCAGGACAGAGAUGAAGAGAAGACCACGCUGCUGAUAGCACAGGCCUAGCCUCUGUGCAUACUGAGGCAAGAACGGGGAAUAUACACAUAAGAAGAGACGCCCCGGUCUCCUGAGUGCUAGGAUUACAGACAUGGAUGGGCCACUCACAGUCCCCUUGAGGGAAGUUCAAUCUCAAAUAUGAGUCAAGAAAACCAUGUUUUAAACAAGCACCAGGGCUCAGUUUGUAAAGUGCUCGCUAUGCAAACACAAGGACUUGAGUUCAAACCCCAGAACCUCCGUGAAAAAGUUCAGAACCCCAGCCCAUGGAACGCUGCCACCUACAGUUAAGGUGGGACGCCCUACUCAACUGGCAUAAACUAGAGAAUCCUCCAUCAGCCCGCCCAAAGAUUUGUCUCCUACAUGAUUCUGGAUUGCGUCAACUUGGCAGCCAAGAUGAACUAUCACAGAAAUUGUAUUUAUUUAUUUUUAUAAAGAUGCUUGAUGUCUGUCUUUUGCUGUUUUGUUGCGAGACAAGGUUUCUCUGUGUAGCCCUGGCUGUCCUGCAACUCACUCUGUAGACCAGGCUGGCCUUGAACUCAGAGAUCCUCCUGCCUCUGCCUCUUGAGUGCUAGGAUUAAAGGUAUGUACCACCAUGCCCAGCUUAUUUUUUCUCUUUAUUUUUAUUGGGGUGGAGGAGACGGAGUCUCUCUAUGUAGCCUUGACUGACCUUGAACUCAUCCUUUGGGCCAGGCUGGCUUUGAACUCAUAGAGAUUCCCUUCUUUUGUCUAUAGAGUUCUAGAAUUAAAGACAGGUAUCACCGUACCUGGCCUCUGAUUUUAUUUUUAAUAUUUUAUUUAUUUUAUUUUUGUGUAUGGGUGUUUUGCCUGCAUGCAAAUAUGUGUACAAUGUAUGUGCAGUGCCCACGGAGGCUGAAAGAGGGUGGCAGAAUUCCUGGGAGUGGAGUUAUAGUGCUUCCAUAUGGGUGCUGGGAAUCAAACCUGGGUCCCAUGGAAGAGAUUUUAUCCACCAAACCAUCUUUCUAGUCCCUUAUUUUACUUUGUAUAAUUCAAUUGUGUGGUCCUUGAGCAUCAACUUUCUUUUUACAACAGUUACUUGACAAACUUUUCUUUCAAAUAAACUUUAGUUAGCUCAGGCCAAAUAGUCAGAAAAAUGUAAACCAGAGAAGAAUAAGGGUUACUCUGUGUAAACAGGUUGUUACUGGCUAGAUAGGCAGACUCUUGAUUAACACUUUUUGUGAUCUUCCUAGGCUGGCCACAGCCCUAAGUUGUGCACAGGUUAGUAGCAGCACAGGCUUCUACUUCAUCAUCUGCACAGUGCAAAGGCAGACCAGCUGAUCUCCAGCUUCCUUCCCAGCUCUAAAAUGCCAGAAGUCGAUUGUAUUGCAGGUCCACCCUUCUCUGUAUUAGAAGACUCAAAAUAACCUACCUAGAGUUUUCCUUGAGAGUAAUGGUUUUACUUUAAUAAUUAUAGAUAGGAAUAGUGUAGAAAAUGUUUCAGUUUUUUUUCUUUCCCCUUAGGAAACAUUUUGUGGGUAAAUAUUCACCAGGUAGAUAAAGCCCAGAAUAGCCAUAAAUUGACAACCUCUUGGGGGAAUACAAGGGUUAAGGAAUUGAGAGUUGGUUCCGGAAAGCAGAGAAUAUUCAGUGCAAGCCGCAUUUGUCUCUGCCUCCCCAGAUAUCUAGAAUGUGUCUGUUGGGAACAAGAGUCAUUUCCAGUUACUGUAUUCAGUGCUAUCAGAAGUGAUAACUCUUAGGCAAUUUGUGACAUGAAAUGAGAGUGUUCCUAGGGCUGACUAUUCCCAUUCAUGCUAAUUUGAGGUGGAUGCACAUUGUGGUCCAUAGGUAGCACUUUGAGGAUCAGAGUACUUUAAUAGUCGUGCUGAUGAAAUGAGGUUUUUAAAAUGCAAAUUAUUUGCACAAUGAACUCCCUUUUGGCUAAAGAGGUAGUGCACUUUCUGGACAUUGCCCAACAGAUUAUAAAUGUAUCAUUAAAAAUGGUUCAACUACACUUUCUUGAUAAAACACUCUCUAGCCUAGGACACUUUGUGACCACUCCCCUAGCAGUUUCUCAAGAGAGUGACAGCUUUGACGGGGGACUUGGGCUCUGAAGGUGCACAGGGGGGUCACUUCAGCUGCUUGACGAUCUCAUUCCCUUUCUGUGACUCUGCUUUCCUGUCUUAGUGCAUUUUCUGUUGCUAUGACAAAACACCCAAAUCUAGGUAAAUUAGAAAGAAUGGAAGUUUAAUCUGCCUACACUUCUGGAGGCUGGAAAGUCCAAGAACGUGGUGCUGGCAUCGAUUCAGCAUCUGGUGUGCUGUCAGAAGACUGUGGAAGGUGAAAGGAUAGUGGAGAUGUGUGCCUGAGGAAGAGGCAAAACGUGGACCAUAACAGCUCACUCUCCGGGUAACUAAUGCAGUUCUUCAAAAAUGAGAUCUCACUCCCGUCAGAAUCAAUCCAGAGGACUGACCGGCAGAUAUGGACUCACACACACAACCUGGCUAGGUAGUUUGCCCUGGGUGGGUGGGAAGAAGCUAAGGGCCAGCACUGGCACUUUGUGGCACCUGGCAUUCGGGCGCCAUUAUGGUGAGCAUAUGAAGGGGAGGGAGAGAGAGAGGCAGAGAGGUUCAUGUCCUGUGGAGAGAGGUGAAUCUGAGGAACAGGCUGAUGUGGGAGGCCCAAUUGCCAUCUGGGGCCCUAUCUGGGUCCGUGAUCCUGCCGCAGCUGUGGUCUGUGUUGAUGUCCAUGGCUCCUGUUACCACUGAAGGCUGUGAAGAUGCCCGUUGCUUGGGCCUCCACAUGUGGGCACAUUGGUGCCCAAGGGCCAUGCCACAGCAGGGGCCAUCCUGAUUUGAGUGGCCUGGGCUACCACUUGGGGCCAUGGAGAUGUCCAGGUUUGAGCUGUGGCCCUACCACAGCCAGGAUUUGUGUUGAUAUCCAAGGUGCCUGUUGCCAUCGAGGAUUAGCUGGGUGCCCAGGGUCUGGGUCCCCACCUGGGGCCAUUUUGGUGUCCAAGGGCCAUCCUGCAGCCAGGGUGAUGCCAAUCUGAGUGGCCUGUGCUGCUAACUGGGACCAUGGUGGCAUCUGGACCUAGGCUGCUGCUGAGGACCAUGUCUGGGUCUGUGGUCCUACUGUAGCUGUGGUCUGUGUUGAUGUCCAUGGCCUGUGUUACCACCAAAGGCUGCACAGAUGUCCCUGCUCUGGGCUACCACCUGUGGCCAUGUUGUUGACCAAGGGAUAUGCCAUAACCGGGGCCAUGCCAAUCUGAGUGGACUGCACUGCCACCUGUGGCCAGGGUGUCAACCAGGCCUGAGCUGCUGCUGGGGGCCACGUCUGGGUCUAUGGUCCUGCUGCAGCCAGGGUCUGUGUCGAUGUCAAUGGUUCUUGUUACCACUGAAGGUUGUGUAGAUGUCCGGGAUAUGGGCCAACACUGGAGGCCAUAUUGAUCUCUGAGGGUCAUCCUGCCACGGAGGUCAUACAGAUUGGGGUGGACAGCAUUGCCACCUAGGAUGAUGGUGGUGUCUGGGCCCAGGCUAUAGCCAGGGGCCAUGUCUGGGUCCUCAGGCCCUACUGCAGCCAGCAUCUGUGCUAAUAUCCAUGGCUUCUGGUCCUAUUGAAGGCCAAGCAGAUGCAUGAGGUCUGGGAUGCCACCUGGGGUCAUGUUGUUGUUCUAGGGCCAUCUUGUAACUAGGGUGAUGCAAAUCUGAGAGGCCACCUGGGGCCAUGGUGACAUCAGGCCCAGGCUGCUGCUGAGAGCCAUGUCUGGGUCCAUAAUCCUACCACAGCUGAUAUGUUGAUGCCCAUGGCCUGUGUUCCCACAAAAGGCCACAAAGAUGCAUGACUUCCAGUCACCACCUGUGACCAUGUUGGGGUCCAAGGGACAUGCAGGUGCCGGGGCCAUGCCAAGCCCGGGCUGCUGCUGAGGGCCAUGUCUGGGUCCAUGGCCCCACCGCAGCCAGGGUCCAUGAGAUGUCCAUGGCUCAGGUUACCACUGAAGGCAGUAUAGAUGCCCGGGGUCUGGGACACCUGAGGCCAUGUUGGUGCCCGAAGAUCAUGCUCCCAUCAGGGCCAUGCAGCUCGGGUGGCCUGUGCUGCCACCUGGGGCCAUGCUGAUGUCCAGGCCCAAACUGUGGCUAGGGGCUACGUCUGGGUUUGUGGCCCUACUACAAACAGGGUCUGUGUCUCCUGUUGCCAUCAGGGGCCCUGCACUUUGUUGGAGUCUCUACUUUCACCUGGGACCUUGUUGGAUGGAGUCUGGGGACACACUGCUGCCGCUGGGCCCAUGCCAAUCUGAGAGGCAUACACUGCCAUCAGGGUCCAUGGUGACAUCCGUGGCCCAAGCUGCUGCUGCUGGCCAUGUCUGGGUCCAUGGUUUUGCCACAGCUGGGGUCUGUGUUGAUGUCUAUUGCCUGUGUUACCACAGGGGCCCUAUGAUCCAUGUGUUGAACCAUGAGUUGAAGUAUAGGGGCCUUGCUGAGCUGGCCCUACCACUCACUAGCCUGUGGAGAGCUGUGCCCCACCCCCUUCACCAGAGAGCUGACUCCAUCCCUGGCUGGCCCUGGGAUAAUGGACCCCUAUGACCCAAGUAUGAGAAAGCUGGCCUCUCCCCUACUAGGAGAAUUGGCCCCCCAUACUUGGGAAAGAUGGCACCAUCCCUCACCAUGGCUGUGAGAGAGCUGGCACCACCCUUCAUCUGCGGGGAGUGGUCCCAGUGGCUCCAACUGACCAACUCAGCAGCUACCCAGGUACAUACCCAGGGCUUUGAGCUGGCACACCCCAACACCUACCCCAUCUAUGACCUGCUGGAGUAUGUGAAGGGACUGGUCCUGAAGAGCCAUGGCCACAUGGUCUACACAACUCAGUGGAAUGUCCAGAGAAUUUCUGUGCGGGUCCAGUGUUGAUGGUGUGCUGGAGGUCAGAGGCCUUGAACCUGACCAACAACACAGUAUACAAUGAACAUUAGCAAGGAAAGCUGUGUGGACAAAAGGGUGUACUGCAUGAUACACAGCAGUUCCCAAUGCCACUAAGACGAAUGAAGAUGGAGAGACAAAGAUGGAGGAGCAAAGUGUUUGCUUCUUUGUUUUUCUCUUUGGUUUGGUUUGCUUGCUCGUUUUUUGAUUGAAAUUGAUAUUAUUUGUAUUUUAUUUUUUAUGCUUUUUCUUCUUUUUUAUCUUUAUCUUAUUUUUAUUAUUUAUUUGUUAGUUUUCUUUGGGGGGAACACUACAAGGGUGAGGGGUGGAUUUGGAGGAACUGGGAGGUGGAUGGGAUUGGGGUGAGUGAUGUAAAAUUCCCAAAGAAUCCAUAAAACGAAAGAAAACCUAUCACCUCUCAGCAUUUGUUAUACUGGGGACUACAUUUCAGCAUGAGUUUUGAAGGGGACAGGCUCCAGCAAAUCUAUAGCAUUCCCUUGGCAAGAUGGCAGGAAUCUGGAAGGAUAUUCUAAAUAUAUCUAAAGGCUGUAUUUAUGUGGUCACUGUGGAAUAUAUGUAUAUUUUCAAGGAAGGACUAAUGAAAAUAAUAUACCAGAGAGCCUAAGAUACAGUUAUAAAUUAGUACCAUCAUGCAUAUGAAGUGUGCAUAGUAGCUAAAUUCAGAAUUUAUUCCAGAAAACUGAAGGAAUUUAUCAUUCUCUGGAAUAUGGGGGAUGUCAUAGGCUAAAUAAUGUCCCUCCUCCAUCUUAAUCUAUUUUGUGUUGUUGUAAUAAAAUACAUUUGGCUGGUGUCUUAAGGUUUCUAUUGCUGUGAAGAGACACCAUGAACACAGCAACUCUUAUAAAGGAAAACAUUUAGUUGGGGCUGGCUUAUAGUUCAGAGGUUUAGUCCAUUAUCAUCAUGGUGGGAAGCAUGGCAGCAUGGAGGCAGACUGUAGUGGAAUAUUGGUUGAAGAUGUGUUAUAUUUGUUUAUGCUCUGGAACAUUUGUUUAAUGAUACAAAGAUGUGUUGCAUUCUUUUAUGUUGCGUUUGUUUGACUCUGUGAAGCUGUGUUGCUUUGCCUGAUAGGUCUAAUAAAGAGCUGAACAGUCAAUAGCUAGGCAGGGAAAGGAUGGGCAGGGCUGCCAGACAGAGAGAAUAAAUAGAAGGAGAAAUCUGGGAGGAAAGGAAGAAAGAGCAAGAGAUCAAGGAGAGGAGGACACUAGGGGCCAGCUACCCAGCCACACAGCCACACAGCCACACAGCCAGCCAUGGAGUAAGAGUGAAAGGAAGUUAUAGAGAAUAGAGAAAGAAAAAAGCCCAGAGGCAAAAGGUAGAUGGGAUAAUUUAAGUUAAGGAAAGCUGGCUAGAAAUAAGCCAAGCUAAGGUGGACAUUCAUAAGUAAGAAUAAGACUCCGUGUAUUUAUUUGGGAGCUGGGUGGUGGGCCCCCCAAAGACCAAGGAGCCAAAAGAGGAAAAUAAACACCAACUACACCAGACACGGUGCUGGAGAAGAAGCUGAGAGUUCUGUAUCUGGAUAGGCAGGCAGCAGGAAGAGAACUGACUUGAGCUUAUAUGAGACCUCAAAUUCUCCCCACUCCUACAGUGACACACUUCCUCCAACAAGGCCACACCUAUUCAAACACAUGAGCCUAUGGGGGCCAUACCUAUUCAAAUCACUACAGGUGGAUAAUGUAUAAAGAAUGGAAAUUUAUUCCUUAUAGUUCCCCAGAGACUGAAAAGUCCAAGAUUAAAGCCCUGGCAUCUGGUUACUGGUGAAAGCCUUUACAUUGAUCCUCCAUUACUGUGGACCUGAGACAAGGCUGAAAUGUCAUGACAGAGAAUAACAGCUCACAUCACGGCAUCUUGGAAGCAGAGAGUCUGAAUGAGGUACCCAAGAUGAGCUAUAGCACCUAAGACACAUCUCUAAUGAUCUGUAUCUUCCAUCCAGGGCUCACCUCCUGGUUACCAUGCUUUCCCAAUAAUGCCAUGUAGUGGGUAGCCAUUCCAGCUUUGAUCUGGAAGUUCCAACCCCCAUUGAGACUUCGGCAACUGUUAUGCCUACAAGGCGGGGCCAAGGGAGGCGCCUGGAGACCCGAGAUCUGGAUGAGCGAGCGCGCUCUCUGUUCUGGGACCCUGGACAGUGGAGGUGGGCCAAGCAGAGCUCCAGAGAACACCGCUGGACUGCGAUACACCUUCCCCAGGCCCCGCCUCCUAUCUAUCCCUUCAUUUGUAAGUUACGCCAUUAAAUAAAUCUCCUUUUAACUUCA
Molecule: long non-coding RNA, 9443 nt
Organism: Peromyscus californicus insignis
Lineage: Eukaryota; Metazoa; Chordata; Mammalia; Rodentia; Cricetidae
Exons: 10
Source: RefSeq, a predicted model, not a curated record